Molecule: long non-coding RNA, 9315 nt
Organism: Podarcis muralis (Common wall lizard)
Lineage: Eukaryota; Metazoa; Chordata; Lepidosauria; Squamata; Lacertidae
Source: RefSeq, a predicted model, not a curated record
ACAUUUUUUCAAUUCAUUAUAAAUCAUUUCCCAAUACACUUUUACCUUUUUACAUGUACAUCACAUGUAAAAAAAAGUUCCCUCUGCUUCUUUACACUUUCAACACAUAUCUGAUUCUGUUUUUUAAAUCUUAGUCAACCUAUUUGGAGUUAAGUACCAUCUAUUAAUCAUUAAUUCAUUUUCAAUGAAUAACAUGCUAUAAAUUUCAGGUCACUUUUCCAGAGUUUCUUCUAGAGGUUGAGAUCUAUAUUGUGUAUCUAUAUUGUAUAUCUAUUGCCCAGUGUGUCAUUGAGGCUUUAACAAGUUUGUCUUUUGCUUCCCAUUCUAGUAGAAAAUUUUACAUUUUAGACAAAAGUUUGUCCUUAUUUUGUAAGAGUUCUUUUUCAAAUUGUGAGCUUUGGUCCAGAAAUCCAUUCUUUUGAUCUAAUUUAAACAUAACAUCUUUUAAAAAUUGUUUUAAUUGAGGGUUUUCUUGUCUUACAAAAGUACAUAUGUCGUCUCUUUAUUUUCAGAGACCUGUUCUUUCCAGUGUCAGAAAUCUGAAUAGGACUUGUUUCUGAAUAGGCAUGGAUAGGGCCUACUGCUUCUGAGGCUGCUCUCAUGUACAUGCAGUUUUUACUGUGGCUACUCAAAAGAUUAAGAAAUGGUGGUCUCGUCUAAAAAAAAAAUACUGCCCUUAUUAACUCAGCAGUAUACUCUGAAGAUUAGGAUAAUGCAAGGUAGAUAGUCCUUGCGUUCAUCACAAAUGCAAAUAGCUUUAUCUUGAAUCUAUUGUUCUUCUUCAUUCCAUAGCCAACUGGCAGAGAAAUAAAGAUCUGAGAGUGAUCUCUGUAAGAGCAAAGUAGUAAAACUUUUGUUUGCUUACACAUAUGGCUGCCAGUUGUCUUAAGUUCAAGAGGAAGAGACAAAGGUUUUUCAUCUGUGUCUGGAGCCGACAAAAAUUGCUCUUCCUUUCCCCUUGUCUCUUUUUUUGGCCCAGCUCUGGUGACCUUUGAACAUUCUCCUGACCACAUGGGAAGCACUCGUCUGUGAGCCAGCACCAUGGGGUAGGGGGCUGCAUCUGAAUGAUGCAGGCCACCUAGUCAGGGCUGAUCAUAUAGAAUGGGGACCUGGUGAACACAUGCAAUCAGCUUCAUCCACAUGGUUGAGUCAUUGAAGUUGCAUCAUGCCACAGCUGGAAGAGCCCAGCUGUUAGUGGCGCAUAGGACCCAACUAGAUCUGGGGGUGAGGGUGAUCCAUGUGGGUCGGGCUGAUUUCUUGUGUGCUUCCCAGGUGCCCAUUCCUCUGGGAGACACCCUACAUGAUCAGCUCUGUGGUUUGUGGUUGGGUUUGCUCAAGGACACGUGGUUCCCAUGUAUUCAGGGAAACAUUGAAACUGUUGAAAAGUCAGCAAAGCCAGGCCCUCCAAAAACGCAGGAUAAGGGGAAGACUCCUCGGGAAUCACAGUCUCCUCACAAGUAUGGUCCUCUUUGACAUCAGCUACCAGUUUGCUUGUGUAUCACUUGUUGCCUAGCAUGUAUGUGAUAAACAAACCAGGCGGCCUUGGUGAUUGUGUUACCUUCAAACCAGGAGUUGUGGCUUGUUGCUCCCUAACAAAUCAUGAUUGCUCACCAACUUGUAGCCAUGGUUUGUGGUUGACUUGUUACAGAGGAUGAACCAUGAUAAACUUGUGGUCAGGGGAAGAACUAAGUGGGAGUAAUAUUGUAGUGGGCACAAGUACGCAGCUCAUUCCUGAUACAAGCCAAGUCCAGCUUACAAUUAUGUAAGAACGUGUUCAGUGUCUGCAAAAAUGGAAACAGCUGGGAGUUGCAGCUGAGUCUUAUAAAAAGUCACAGCUAGGAGGUUCCUUCAGAACUCUGAAGGCAGUUGUGGACAAAAAUUUGGUGCGUCUCCUGCCUCUCACACUCCGUUCUAAAUCAUUGUUGUGAUGCCCAGUGCAGCCAAACUGGUUGCACUACCCAAAAAUUGUUUUUCUGAGGGAUCCCUGAAAUUUCAUCACAUAUAAAACAGGAGAAUGCAUAACAGCAUCAUUUUUUAGCAAAACUGUUUAUUAAUUUUUGUAUCUUUUGUACAUUCUUAUUCUAUACUUCAACCCAUAAGGGAUUCCAGAGCUUCUAACAAUUCAUUAAAAAUUGGUCAGUUAAAAUCUAAGCAAGUAUGGACAUAAUAAAGUUAAGAAACUACCGAACAGCAAAAAUAAUUACCACAACCCAAUAAAAUCAGGUCCAAAUAAAUAUAAAACAGUUGUUUAAAAGCUAUGAAAAGCUAGAAAUGAAACGUGCUGAGCUGUGAUAGCGAAUCCCAUAGCUUUGGCAAACGUGUUGCUUCCAAAGUUAUGUAGCCCUGAACCCAAAAUACGUUCCAGUAAUAAAGAGUAAUUUAGCACAUGGCCUACAUCUGGCCAAUGUGGAGCUAUCCAAUGUUUAGUGAAAGGUCUUUCCAAAAACUGGGUAAGUAUUUUUGGCUGAUGAGCACUGUCGCUCAGAUACAAUAACUGGCAUUUCUUUUUAGAGCAACUUGAGAAUUGGAUCAUUCUUUUUGGUAGGUUUAUGAACUGUACAUCUAUAUUUGCAUGCACACACAUGGAAGCAAUCGUGCAGUUUUCCAAAUUGUUUUCUUCUUCUAAAGGUGUUUUAUGAGCAAAUGCUAAUAUUUUUCAUGUGGUUGGAUUCUGUUUUUGCUGCUUCCAUGAAAUACCACCCAACCGUUUUUGUUUGUUUGUUUGUUUUUUGGUAGAUCUAUAUUUGACAUUUGACUCACUGUUGAAACAAUACAAAGUGAUCAGUGGUCACCUGCAGAGCCCAAACCGCCUUGGGUCAGCUCAAUCCAAAUGAACCCAAGGCUCAUCAGUAAUAUCAUAGUUGCACUGAACUGUAAACUGGGUGUAUGCUAUACACUCUAAAAGAAAUCCAGAGUGAUCCAUUGUCCCUCCUGCACAGUUAGCCUUGUAAACCUCUUCUGUCCAAUCCUAUUUAGCUUCUGAUGAAAAUACAUGCAUAAAAUUAGACCUUUAUCUUCAGCCAAGCUAGACCAAUUUUGGUCAGCAAAAAGUGCAUCUCAAAAUGGUUCCUUAAGCUAUGUUGAUUGUCUCCAGCGAGGUCCUGCCCAGAGUAGAUCUAUUAGAAUUAAUGGACCUAAGUUAUCAUUGCUAUAAUUAAUAUAUUAAUCACAUUUUACAAUACUUUACCAAGGUGAUUGACACAGUAGACAAUUAAAAACACAAAAACUACAAAUACAUUUAAAACAAGAUGAAAAUCCUACCAAAAGGACGCUCAUGGUAAAGACCCAUUUAUCCAGUUGGAAAAACCUGUUGGAACAAAACAAAACAAAGUAUUCAGCUGCUAGUUGUGUGCAUAAAUUUCCAUGGAUCUACUUUGAGUGGACUAAUACUGGACACAGCCCAUCUUUUUUCUCACUAUUCUAGAGAAAUUGCACUCUCCUCUUGCCUUCAGUUGUAGGAAAUUAUAGCAAAUCCUUUUUUGUGCACGCACACACACGUCAGUGAUAGAUCUAGCAAGAUUUCCAGUUGAUUUCAAUCUUAACUGUGAGUGUCCAGCACUUUGAAAAUGCAGGGCCCCUAAUGACUUAGCUCUAGAUGUGUAUACCUGCGACAGAUAGCAACUAAUUGCUCAUGGAUAAUGAUGUAAUAGGUUUCCCAUCCAACAUUAAUAUGUAGCUAUAUUAAUAUAUCACAACCUGGUAAUGUGGUAUGACUAGGAUCUAUAUCAAAUGAUUAUGUCAAUGGGCCAUUAAGCAAAUAGUAUAUUAAACCCAGAGUACAGCAUGAGCCUCUGAAUAGAAGUGUACGUCGAGAACUUAAGUGAGACUCUAAAAAACACAGGCAUUAACAUGCAGAUGGAAAGAGGGUCACAUGAUUGUUUUUGCAAGUCCUACAGACAAUUGAGUUUGCAUUCUGUCUGUAUCCCAUCCAAAUUUUAGAAUGCCAUGAGGGUGCGAAGUGGGGGUUGAUUGGGCAUGAUUCCUGCCUGGGACGUUGUGAUGUGUAAUUAUUGGUAUAGAAACAGAUCUAAGAUCACCACGUCCUGGUGAGGUUGAUUGUUCCAGGACAGCAAGUCUCCUAAGGUCCUGCUUACCCAACAAGGAAUCAGAAGCUCUCGUCUCAUCCUAGCAGUGACCAAAAUGGUAGACAGCUUUGCAGGCAUUAAGUUUUGUGUGUGUAUAUAUGGAGUGCGGGAAUAAAUAGUCUGGUAAGAUGGCUGGUUGUUGGAAUAAGGAAACUAAAGGUUUAUUACUCCUGGGAGAUAAAGCCAUUCUGAGCACAAGCUUACAUGUUGCUAUCAUGGAGUCAUGAGGUUAACAAGAGGAAGCUCCAAGACCAAGGGAUAUAGAGAAAGACUAGCUGGACAAGAAGGAAGGAAGGAAGGAAGGAAGGAAGGGAGGGAGGGAGGGAAGCCUGAACAAACACACUCUACAUGGCAACAAGUGGAAGGAAUCAGUGACGGAAAAAGAGACUACAUUUCUAUUGACCCCGCCCCGGUUCAGGUGAUUUAUUGCAGGUGUUGAUUUAUUAUAGGUGUUUACUCUCAACAGCUGGAUGAUUGAAUGGCGGGAGGAGGAUGCAGGUAGGCUCAUUUCUGCACCCUUUCACACAGCCCUUUACCUUUCCAUCCAGACAAGCAAAAGUCAUCUGCAGAAUUCAAGACGCAUUCAAAACAGGCAAAAGCAGUCAAGGAAGAUGCAAUGAGGUAUGGGGCCUGCCAUACCUCCUGAGGGCCACAACCAGCCUUUAGUCCUAAGGUUCCCCACUCUAGGAAUAUGCAACAGGGAGGAGGAAGAGGAGAUGGGUGCAAACAGGGAGGGGAGUCCUCUAACCAGCCCUUAAUAGCAGCUCCACACAUGACACGGAUGCAGAAGGACAGGAAAGUCAAACUUAUUUGAACCCUUAUAACCUGUUUCAAGUGUUCAUUUGUUCUUGGCAUUUAUAUCCUGCCCAAUGAACCAUGCCUUUGGGUAUUUCACAGAUUUAAAAAUAAAUGCAAUACAAAUGCAGUCAAAAUAAAAACAAUCAAUAAAAGAAACUUGCAUCGCUAUAAUUCAUGCGAAAGCAGUGUAAGAUCAAGAACAUUAAAAGCAGCUCUGAAAGUCGGCAUCAGUGUGUGUGUGUAAACUAGCGCAAAAGGCUUGCAGCCAACUACAAGGUCCUACUUGGAAUAGACCCGGUGAAAUAACUGACCUUAAGUUAGUUGUGCCCAUUAACUUCAAUGGACCUGCUCUGAGUAGGCUUAGCAUUGGACACCACCCAAAAUAACCAUUGUUUUUAAAAAGUCUCGGAGAAUAAAAAUGCCUUCACCUGGUGCUGAAUGCAGGUGUCAGGCAAGCUUCUUUGGGGACAGCAUUCCUUCACUAGGGUGCCACUACUCAGAAGUAAGCACAGGAACUAAAACAAAAGAAGCUGCUGCAUACAGAGUCAGAUCUUUGUUCAAUCUAGCCCAAUAUUGUCUAUACUGUACUGACUGGCAGUUGUUUUCCGGUAUUUCAAACAGAAGUCUUUCCCAUCGCUACCUGGAGACACCAGGGGUUGAACCAGGUACCUUAUGCAUGAAAAGCAGACGCUCUACCACUAACCUGUGGACCUACCCUGGAGCAUCCUCUCUCCUCCUAAACAUACAUUGCAGGGAGUUGAGCUAGAUAACCCAUUGGGUCCCUUCCAGCUCUAUAAUUCUAUGAUUCUGUUAUUCGAAUCAGGUUGCGUCUUUCUUAUAGCCUUUUUAACUUGAUGUGUUGACUUCUCCAUAAUUAAUCCGAGGCCCAGACAUCAUGGUCAGAUGUGAUUUCACAUGGCUGAACUUUGCUUCAUUUGAAUCUUUUCCCUAUGCAUCAUUAGAAGUUAUAACUGUAAUAGGAUGACGAUAUUACUGCAAUACUAAUAUUGUGCUCUCCAUUCCUGCUCCGAGCAGUGGUCUUAAUGGGCAUUGGAAGCAGUCAUUGUAAAGAUGGCAUGUGACGUACCUGUGCGUUUGAAAUCUAUUGCCUUUUAGAAAGAAGAUGAAUAGAGGAAAAGCAGCAGGUCCAGAUGGCUUGACCAACUGUACUCACUGCAUAAGCUGGGAGGGGAAAUGUGUUAAUUAGCAAGCCACUCAGGCCUUGGUUUUUCAAAACUAUCAUUCAACAUAGUGGGCUUAAUUUGAGGCAGGGCUGAGCCCUGGAACCCAUUUUAAUUAAUGUCAGGGCCCCAUCACAGAGCAAGUGAUGAGAUGAUAAAGUGUCCCAAAGCACAUGUAGAGCUAGUUAAUUAUAUGUACACUCAUAACUCAUGAGUUGUAUCAUGCACCAAGGAGCGAACACAGAUUAAUCACUGCCAACAGAACUUUUAUACUACACUAUGUGUCAUCUACAAUGCAAUGGGUUGGACCCAGACUAAGUUAACUGGAUCUGGUUCCUAUGCUGUCAUGGAUGCUUUAGUUGAGAUUCCUGCAUUGCAGGGGGUUGGACUAGAUGACCCUUGGGAUCCCUUCCAACUCUAGAAUACUCUUGAUUCCAUGAUUCUAUGAAAUCAAUGGAACUUAGUAACAUUGGAAGUUGUCUUCUGCCAAGUCAAACCAUUGGUGUAUUGUCAACACUGACUGGCAGUAACUCUUCGGGGUUCCCAGCCCUACCUGGAGAUGCUGGUGGUUGAGCCUGGGACCUUUUGAACAAAAGGCCACUGAGUUACGGUAACUCCCCCUUAACGUAAGUCAUGAUUAAUUUGUCACAUUGAUUUCAAUGGGACCUAAGUUCCACUUAGUUGGGAUCCAAUUCAAUGGCUUGAAUUCAAAUGUGUGGCUGUUUUGGCAUGUGGAACAGAUCUGAAAUCUUAUGGAAAGACUGUUUUGCAUCUUAUCCUAGAGAGCUAUCCAAGGAAAGCAAAUCUAAACCCAAAAGAGAAGUAUGAGAACGAUUAGCAUCCUCUAUCCUAUUACUGCAUUGGAUGAGCUCUUGAGUGAGGCUUUGCAGAGCAGCACCAGUGACUAAUUUUCCUCUACUCACCAUUAUUUGCAUCCAGGCGAAUGCUUUUUCAAUGGAGCCAGUUGUGGACAGUUUUGGUCUCCUCGUCCCAAACAGAAUGUUGCAGAGCUGGAAAAGGUUCAGAAAGGACAACCAGAGUGAUCAAAGGGCUAUUGCAACUCCCCUCUUGGGGGCUUUUUUCUAAACUAAUUCUUUGAACGAUUGACAGAGAUGCUGUUCAACCAAACUCUACAUUGAUUUGAAUCAGAGUUGCACAAUCUGAACAUUUUCAGAAACCGAGCUGCGAAACUUUCAUAGUCAAUUAGCUUUUGUAUCUUAGGAUAGAAGGUAGAAAAAGCAGCAAGCUUCUUGAAGCUAAGCACGUCUGGACCUAGCCAGUGCCUGGAUGGGAGGCCAUGAGGAGUCAUAUGUGAAGCAGCUUGAGCUGGAUUUGUAGCAAUAAAUCCACUCACCCAUCCACCCUGAAUCCCAAAGCUGAACUCAGAUGAACUUCAGAAUCCAAUGCCUGAGGGACGGUUCAUGCACACACAUUUUCCCUUGAUAACUGCAGCAUGUUUGAAUGAGCCACCGAAGAGCGAACAAAUCUGAUAUAACAUUUGUACCACUUCACACAACCUUGAUGCUUUUCAUUGGAGUCAGCUCAUGGGUUCAGGUAAGGUUUCAAAGAAGACAACAAGAAUCACUGCCUGCCAGUUUUCUUUCAAAGAGUGGAGAAGGGGGUGAGGAAAUGAAGCAACUCAUCUUAUUGCGGAGUAUGAUUAAAAAUGGCAUAAAUAAAUAUUUCUGCAAGAAUAAAGUCUCCAGUUAGUUAGAAGAUAAGGUCAGGAUCCAAAGAACAAAGCAAGUAAUUCCAUAUUUCCCAAAGGGGCUUUGGACUUGUGUUCCUCAAACAGCAGACUCCCUCAACUACAAACCCCAGGCUGAAUUAUUUCAUUUCUAUGCUAUCCUUUCUCUAAGGAAGUGGUGAGGAACCUCAGAUCCAGGGAUUAAAUACUACUGUACAGCCAAAUACUCUCCCCCAGGGCACACCCCUCAGUACCCCUGCUUCACACCCCAGCUAGUUUUGCCUUGCUGUGCUGUGUUUCUGAACUCUGAUAGUGUCUAUUGCUUGUCUGUACUGAAGACAGGUGUGUGAGACUGGACUGAAGACAGAGAGGUGUGUGAGAACGUGUGUAGACAUUCGCCUACUGUACAAAGGGUUUUUAAAACAUAAAAAUGCAGGGAAUUAAAGAACUGAAUUCCACCCAAUGCCUACUUUCGACCACAGUAAAUUAGCUCAACAUUCUGACCACUACACCAUACUGUCAAAGUGCUUUUGUAAUGGAAGGUUUCAAAAGCAGUUUAUGGUAUAGCCAGGCACAAGGUUAGUUUAAACCAGUUGUUCCCAACGUGGGUGGUGCUGCCCCCUUUCAAGGCUGGGAGACUUACUCAGGGUGGCGCUAUAGGGCAAGGGGGAAGCAGGGAGUGCUGGAGGUGUAAAUGACUGGCAUCACUGGAUCAAGUUCAUCCAUUUUGCUGAAUUAACUCAUUGGUUUUAAUUGAAUUUUGAAUAAAUGUGCAAUUCAUUGUUACUGCUUUGAAUUGUAUUGUGUUGUUACCAUUUUUCUGAAUAUUGGUUUUUUUAUAGGGUAGGGGGCACCGGGGAUGAGCUUAUGGAACCAAGUGGGUGGUGGCCCCAAAAAGUUUGGAAACCACUGGUUUAAAUCAUUCUAUUAGAACGUGCAUGAGCUUUGGAGUGUGUCUAAAGUUGCUCUAUGGAUCCUGGCCAGAAUGAAUGAAAUUCCUAUUAAAAGAUGAAAUCAGAACAGGAAAAAGAAAAGGGAGCACUAAACUAAAAAGGGAGGAGGCAGAAUGCCGGGUAAUUCUAGAAAACGAUAUAAACUUCUUUGGAACAAUAGAAAUUGGAACGUUUCUCUCAUCUCCAAGAAUGUUCAUACACUGAUAAUAUAUACAAUCUAGGAUAUAUAUAUAUAUAUAUUCAUAGAUACCUGUUCAAGGAGAACCCUUCCACAAGCAUUGCAACUUGCCAUUUCCUUCAUGACACCAGGAGAAAUUCAUAAAUCUGGAACAUUUGGGACAAAACCAUCUGGCUCAGAGACCACCCGCCCUACAUCAGCGCUUCAGUUGCAAGAGAUAUAAUUUCUCAUGGAAUAAAAUCCAGACCUCAAGCCACGAACGGCAUCUGGCUAUGAUAAAGCUUUUAUCCACCUAAGGGUAUAUGGACGGUGCUCAAACCUCCCAGUUAAAGCUGGAGACUUGGGUUAAACGAAACCAAUGGCAGCUGCUUCAUACCAAGCUAGAUUUUCUUUUGGUCCAUCUAGCCUGGUAUUGUCUACUCUGACAGACAGU